This 468-nucleotide ribosomal RNA is filed under the name uncultured bacterium. Its description in RNAcentral is "partial 16S ribosomal RNA". It matches the Rfam family "Bacterial small subunit ribosomal RNA", at positions 28 to 507 of the family's 1533-position model. The record is from RNAcentral.
GACGAACGCUGGCGGCGUGCUUAACACAUGCAAGUCGAACGGAAAGGCCCUGCUUUUGUGGGGUGCUCGAGUGGCGAACGGGUGAGUAACACGUGAGUAACCUGCCCUUGACUUUGGGAUAACUUCAGGAAACUGGGGCUAAUACCGGAUAGGAGCUCCUGCUGCAUGGUGGGGGUUGGAAAGUUUCGGCGGUUGUGGAUGGACUCGCGGCUUAUCAGCUUGUUGGUGGGGUAGUGGCUUACCAAGGCUUCGUCGGGUAGCCGGCCUGAGAGGGUGAACGGCGUCAAUGGGACUGAGAGACGGACCAGACGGGUACGGGAGGCAGCAGGGGGGAGUAUUGCACAAUGGGCGGAAGCCUGAUGCAACAACGCCGGGAGCGGGAUGACGACUUUGGGGUUGUAAACCGCUUUCGCCUGUGACGAAGCGUGAGUGACGGUAAUGGGUAAAGAAGCACCGGCUAACUACGUG